UGACACUACACUAAAUUAUACAUCAAGGGUGAGGGUAGAAUAAAGUGAUGUUCACAUAUGCAAGGACUCAAGAUUAUAUAUCACAUAUAUCAUCACAUAGUUAAUGACUGAAGGAUGAAUGCCAGCAAUAGAAUAAUAGAAGACAUGCUUAAUGAAUGAAGGACUUAACAGGAAAAGAUUAAAGAAAGGAAGUUUAAGAGAAUUCAAUAAUUUCGCACAAGCAGUGGCAAAGUGCUGCUUGAUUGAAAUGUUAUACUUCAAUGAAUAUACAAUAAAGAAUUCUGAGGAAGUGGACAAGAAGGAGGGGAUACUUAACUUUAUGUAUCUAGCCAACCAUGAUUUGUUUUAUUUCCAAUCACUGAGUAUUCACUUCUGCUAGUCACUGCCUGAAGCUCUACGGAAUACAAAGAUGGGUAAGAUAGGGACCAUACUCAGAAAGAAAUCUACAUUCAAACUUUUACUGUGGCAUAGGAUUCACAUGGUAAUUUUAUUUUAUUUUAAUAAAAGUA
Panthera uncia (snow leopard) is the source of this 509-nucleotide long non-coding RNA. RefSeq lists it as uncharacterized. The transcript is spliced from 3 exons. The record is from RefSeq and is a predicted model, not a curated record. NCBI's taxonomy places the organism in Eukaryota, Metazoa, Chordata, Mammalia, Carnivora, Felidae.